This 467-nucleotide ribosomal RNA is filed under the name uncultured bacterium. RNAcentral describes it as "partial 16S ribosomal RNA". It matches the Rfam family "Bacterial small subunit ribosomal RNA", at positions 28 to 506 of the family's 1533-position model. The record is from RNAcentral.
GACGAACGCUGGCGGCGUGCUUAACACAUGCAAGUCGAACGGAAAGGCCCUGCUCUUGUGGGGUGCUCGAGUGGCGAACGGGUGAGUAACACGUGAGUAACCUGCCCUUGACUUUGGGAUAACUUCAGGAAACUGGGGCUAAUACCGGAUAGGAGCUCCUGCUGCAUGGUGGGGGUUGGAAAGUUUCGGCGGUUGGGGAUGGACUCGCGGCUUAUCAGCUUGUUGGUGGGGUAGUGGCUUACCAAGGCUUUGACGGGUAGCCGGCCUGAGAGGGUGACCGGCCACAUUGGGACUGAGAUACGGCCCAGACUCCUACGGGAGGCAGCAGUGGGGAAUAUUGCACAAUGGGCGGAAGCCUGAUGCAGCAACGCCGCGUGCGGGAUGACGGCCUUCGGGUUGUAAACCGCUUUCGCCUGUGACGAAGCGUGAGUGACGGUAAUGGGUAAAGAAGCACCGGCGAACUACGU